This 454-nucleotide ribosomal RNA is filed under the name uncultured Rikenellaceae bacterium. Its description in RNAcentral is "partial 16S ribosomal RNA". It matches the Rfam family "Bacterial small subunit ribosomal RNA", at positions 341 to 792 of the family's 1533-position model. The record is from RNAcentral. Lineage: Bacteria; Pseudomonadati; Bacteroidota; Bacteroidia; Bacteroidales; Rikenellaceae.
ACGGAAGGCAGCAGUGAGGAAUAUUGGUCAAUGGACGCAAGUCUGAACCAGCCAUGCCGCGUGCAGGAAUAAGGCCCUAUGGGUCGUAAACUGCUUUUGUGGUGGAGCAAUAAGUCGUACGUGUACGGCGAUGAGAGUACAUCACGAAUAAGCAUCGGCUAACUCCGUGCCAGCAGCCGCGGUAAUACGGAGGAUGCAAGCGUUAUCCGGAUUUAUUGGGUUUAAAGGGUGCGUAGGCUGUGGUCCAAGUCAGGGGUGAAAGCCCGGAGCUCAACUCCGGAACUGCCUUUGAUACUGGAUUGCUGGAAUACGGAUGCCGUGGGAGGAAUGAGUAGUGUAGCGGUGAAACGCAUAGAUAUUACUCAGAACACCGAUUGCGAAGGCAUCUCACGAAUCCGUCAUUGACGCUGAGGCACGAAAGCGUGGGGAUCAAACAGGAUUAGAUACCCUGGUA